GUUAAUAAUACUAAAACCCCAUUCUCAAAUUUAUUCAUCAAAUUUCACCCUUCCCUCUCUAAACAAACUAUUUCUAAAAACCUCCAUUAGAGAUGAAACUCAAGAAAAUCAUAGAGGUUGGAUUUUCAUGGUUUGUUUAUCAAGUUGUCAUGGUCAUGGUAUGUAAUGAGGUAUAGUAAUUCUUCAUCCUUAUUUAACAAUUCACCUAAGGAGUUCCUUCAAAGGUUUUCCAAGAAGAUUUUAUGAUCAAAUCCUUAUCAUUCAAUCUAGACAUGGAUUUAUUGUCAAAUUGUUUUCAAACGCAUCCUAAUGAUGAAUCGAUGAUUGAGUAAUGCUUUAAUGAUGAAUUUUAAUCCAAUUUCAUGAAUAAUCCAUGAUCCUCGUAUUUUCUCAAUUUAGCCUAUAAUGUGGGAAUUAUGAUCCUAAUGUUAGGUUGAUUGAAUUGUGGUUCGAUUACUUUAUUAUUUCUAUUGCUACUAUUUUCUAUAUGAAUUCAUGGUGAAUUAUUGGUAAUUUAUCAAUGAUGACGAAAGCUUGGAGAAUUGGUAAGAUUGCCAUAUUUCCUCUACUUUGUAUAAAAUUGAUAGUUGAAUUGACCUUGAAUGGCAUUGUGUGGUAUGGUCCACUUAUGGUGGAGGUUUUAUUUCAUUUUCAUUCUCUAUAUGUUAUGAUCAUGUACUUGAAGGAAAAUUGAUGUAUUAUGAAUGUUUUGUUAUGAUGAUCACACGAUGUGAAGUUAUAUGUCUAUUUUCCAAUGUUAGUAUCAUGUUUUAGGUGUUGAUAAUGUCUACUACGUUUGAUUAAAGUUGUUACGGUUAGGUAUGGUAUAUGUGUCUAUAAUUGAUAAAAUUCUAUUGAUGGAUGACCCCCUACCUAUGUACCCCUACAUGAAUGUGUUGUCUAAAGCAUGGUUAGGAGUCUUAGAUUCAAAUGUUGAAGAUGUCUUAUUUCAUAUGCUAUAAUGUUGUGGAUGGUCUAUGCAUGAAUUUGUACUGUGAUCUUUAGAGGGUGGAUUGCUCAAUAUUAUGUUGAUAGUGAUUAUGUGAUCAUGUUUACCAAUGUACACACACUAACACUUUAUGUAUGUGUACGAGUAUGAUAAAUUCAUAGUGUCUAAUGAAAGGAUAAUUCUCAUAUGCACUAUUGUCUAUUACUUGUCUGUGCAUGUAAAGUAUAUGUUCAUGAAAGUAUGAAAAUGUAUCUUAACUAGGAUGACUUGAUAGGUGUACUAGUAUGGAUAAGAGUAUGAGACUUUUCCUUAACAUUGCACAUGGGUACCUUGACAGAAUAGUUCCUAAGGUGAUUACUCUAUGUACAUGAAUAUGAAUGCAUGAUUAAGAUUUGCAUAUGAAAUUAAAGUAUAUGUUAUGAUUGCAAGUAUAUGAUCUGAUGAUGUAUGUAUAUAUGUAAUGUAUAAAUGUUGUAUGUGAAAGGUUUCCUCUUCAUAUAUGAACACAUACACACACAAAAAUGAAUGCAUACAUGAAGCAUGUAUGAUAAUCUAGUAAAGUAGGGUCCUUGGAAAGAUGUUGUUCUCAAUUGAACUCUAAACUAGAAGGUGCUUGAAUAUGCUAUGUCCAUGCGAAAGGUUUUCUCAUAUGAGUUAGGUCGAUGAAAGGACAAUUUUCAUCUAUAACCUUUCAGGGACUAUUCUCCUAAAUCUUGAUUUUAUCAAAGUAAUAUUAAUAAACGCUUUUCAAAAACUGAACUUCGCUUAUCACCAAGUGAACUUGACAAUGAGAGGGUUGACUCCCCUUUGAGGGAUAUUCACCCUCUAAUUUCUCAUGAGAUGAGGACUCCAAUGCUAAUGGGCAUGUAAAGGGUCCAAGACAUAUAUUCUAGUUCCUUAUGAAUGUUGCCCACAUAGACCUAGCAAGUGGAUCAAUCUAAUAUGCUAGCAUGAUGUUUAUGUUAUACCUUGGCAAGUAGAGCACCUCCUUUUUGAUGUGGGGUUCCAUGACACUAGAUUUCAUUUUUAGUUAACAUGGUCUUAUUUUCGGUUAAGGAUAGGGUUUCCCUAAGGUAAAAUGGACAAUAGAAGUAAUGUAAUGAACCUUAACUAAGAUAUGAUAAGGGAUGUUGCUUAGUGUAGGUGAGGGUAUGAGACUUUACCUAUGCAUUGCACAAGUAGCUCUUAAAGGGAGUUCUAGGAAGGUGUGCUAUAUCUAUAUGUACAUGUAUAUGUAUUUUAUGCAUGACGUUAUGGUAAUGACCUACUUGUAUAAUGAUAUGCAUAGUAUGAGUCCUAUUGUGUAUAUAUGAUGAGGUCUUACUUUAGAUGCCUAAUGUUUGUCUUAUAGACUAUAUGAUGAGGUCUUACCUUACCUGUAUGAUGUUGUUCUUACUUGCCAUUUGAUGGAGGUCCUAUUAAUGCAUGUAGUUGACUAUAGUUGUCAUUUGAUGUAUGAAGCAAACGAUAAGUCUUUUGGUCUCUUUGUGAGUUUACUUGGUAUGUGUGAGAUUAUGGGGCUUCACAUGUACAUUGCACUAGUAGGCUUAGAUUGAGAUUAUGAGUAAGGUCUUAUGAUGUUUUAAUGAUAUAAAGUCCAAGCAUGUAUUUGUUGACUAUUGCCUAUUAUCAUGUUAUUGGUAGUGUUGACUUGUGUGUUAUCUUAAAUUGUGUCUCCUAUGUGAUUUAUGAAGUAUGUUGGGUCAUAUGUGAAAUAUGUGUCUCAUGAUAUGCGAUGUUUCCAUGAAUAUCUGUGUAUGAAAUUAAUGAAGGUUUUAUUAAUUUCACCUUGGUGACCUUAAGACCAUCUCCAACCCAUCUCUAAUUUACUCUCCAUUCUAUAUAUUAUGAGAGUAAAAUAGAUAAUAGGUUCUCCAAUCACUCUCUAUUUAAAUCUCUAUUCUUCAAUUAUAAAGAGGUGAGUAGUAGUUCUCAAAAUCUGUAGAAUUACUUUUUACCUCUCUAUUUUACUUUUUUAUUAUUUUAAUAAUAUUUCUAUUAUAUUACUAAGUUAAUAUUUAUGAUUUAUAAUUAUUUUCUAAUGCAAUAUAACAUUUAGCAAGUUACUACUUCUGCCAAAUUAAUACAACUUCCGCCGAAUUAUUUAUUUUUAUUCUAUUUUUUAAAAGAAAAUGUCAAUUUAAAUAUGUGACUUUAAGUUAUUUUACUAUUAAUUAUAUUAUAUAAGAUUAUUAAUUAAAUCGCUAAUAUUUGACAAUAUUUUCUACAUAACAUAACAUCUAAAACAUAUUGUUGUCUUUUUAUUUUAUUCAUUUUAAAUAUUUAAUUUAGAUAAUAAUUAUAUUUCAUUAUGAAAUAUGCACAAAAUUAACAUGAAAAUUAAAACAAUGUACUUUUUAUGUCAUAGUGAUAAAUUAUAAAAUUAUACUUUUUUAAAUAUAAUGAAAAUAUUUGAUUCAAUAGUUCAAAAUGGAAUAUGGGAAAUAAAUUAGUACACGAAAUAAUUGAAUACAAGAUGAAAUUGUCAAUUUACAUAAUUUUUAUCUACACACAAAAAAUGCUCAUUUUGAACUCUCUAAUACAUUAAUAGAACACUCAUAAGAGUAACCUAAUAAUCUGAAAGUUGAUUAUUUAUGUACGAUUUAAAAUAAACGUUAUAAUAAUACAAUAUUUAUUAUGCAAUUAUAUUUCAUUAGUGAUUUAUCUUCUAUUUGAAUCGUUCAUUAGUAUGUAUUAUAAAUAAUAUUAAUCGCAAUUCAUGUUAUAUAUAAUAAAAUAUAAUUUUGUGUUUAAAGAAGAUUUUGAAAAACAUAAAAAAUAAUUACAUAAAGAUUAUAGAGAGAUUAUAUUCAUAAAUAAGAAAUAAUUAAUAUUAUGAAAUAAGAAAAAGAGAAUGAAAUAUAAAUAAUAAUAUAACAUUAAGAUGAGAGAAAAAAGCUUCUUUUUAGAGUGUAAAAUAGAGAUUUGGUUUUGAGUUGAUUGUCUGAAAAAUAGAGAACUCAGUAAAAUAAGGGGUAGGGUUUGAGAUGCCCUGACGUGGUGCUUGAGUGUCGAGAGUGUGUUGAGACACUAUUCAUGCAUUGCACCAAGUGUUACUAGAGGGUUACUUGGGGAGUUAAUGACUUAAGGUAAAAAGAAGAUAAUGUUAUAAAUAUGAUUGAUAUACUUAAAUGCAAUAUAUGUGGAUUUGGUGUGUUUACAUGGAUAGUGUCUAUACCUAUAUGAAGUAUAUGAACUAUAAUUAUGUAAUUGUGCCAAUUUUUUUUAUGAAGAUUCUUUUAAAAAAAAAGCAUGUUGAAUGAUUUCUAACAAAAUGUCCUCUUUAAGUGGCAUGUUUUUGCAUGAUUGUCAUACUUAAUGCAUUCUUAUACUAAUAUCAUUCUUCUUCAUCUUUUUACACUAAGUGUAGGUGAUGGAUGAUUAGAGGAUGUCUCUUAAAGUGAAGGGCUUGAUACAUGAUUCCAAGCUCAACAAAGGUACUUAUAAUUCAAGGAUUUUCUAUGUCAAAUAAUUAUUAUAAGUUUAUGUAAUAGCUUAGUUAUUAAUUAUGUUGUCAAAGGUUGUGUCCAUAUUUAUACUCUAUUAAAAAUGAGUUUAAGAUGACAAAAGAGACUUAAAGUAUAACUAUGUAUUAAUGUUAUGAAAGUUUUAAAUUUUUAAGUAGAUUUACUAUGAUAAUGCGAUGAAUGAUGUCUAUGGGUUUGUACAAGACCUCUGUGAGGUCAAGUAUGCCAUGUUACUUCUAGGGGGUGCUCCCCGGUCCUGAAAAAAUAAAAUUCGGUUUAGAGAAAGAUAAAUGGAGCAGGGAAUUUCAAGGUAGGAGUCAAAUCCUCACCAAUAAAUUGAAAGUUCACCUAGUCAACCAACAUAACUACUAAGAUUCUCCAACAAGCAAUUUUUUGUAUUUCACGAUCAUUAUUUCUCAAAGAAAUUGUAAGACUAUUUAUAAUCUCUCUUCAAAUGCAUAUUUUAUUAUUCAUUUCUAUCAGGUUUUUAUAAAUUUCGUUACUAACAAUGCGAGGAUUAAAUUAUAUAUUCACAUUUUUUAAUUAUAAGUUGACAGUAAAAAAGUAAUAUAUUUAUUGAAAUCUUUAUUUUUGUUGUGGUUUAUGCAGGAAAAUAUUUUUGAAUUUUUUCAAACAAGAAGCUAAAGAAAGAAUAAAGUUUCAUGAAUAGAAAAGUGAUGAUAAUUUCUACUGAAAAAAUGGAGAAUAUUAACCAAGAUUUCAUAAAAAUCCUUGAUGUGAAAAGACCUCGCAGACAUUGUUAUCUUUUAGAAUCUCGACUUUUUAUGACAGGUAAAUACAGUACUAAUCUAUAUGUUAUAAUUUCUUAUAUUUAUAUUUGUAUUUUAAUAGGAAAAUGCAUAAGUUCCUCCUUAACCUAUGCCUAAAAUCUCAAAGACACACUUAUAUUAUACUAAAUUCCUAUUACCCCCCUGAAUUUAUUAUAUAAAUAAUUUUUUACCCAUUCAUGGCCUACGUGACACUCGUUUGAAAAAAAAAUGUCAACACACUUAAUAUAGUUUCACGUAGCUCGAAAAGGGAUAGAAAAUUAUUUAUUAAAUAAGUUCAGGGGGUAAUAGGAACUUAUUAUAGUAUAAGUGUAUCUCUGAGAUUUCGGGCAUAGGUUGAGUGGGUACAUUUGCAUUAUCCCUAUUUUAACUAUAAACUAAAAUUUUGACAUUUAAAAGGAAUACUCCAUUUCUUCUGUUUCAUGUGAAAGUCUUUACUCUUUAAUCUAUGAUGAAAAAAAUAUUUUUUUUUAAUUGAAACGUGAUGAACUUUGAACUUGAUAUCUUUUUAUUUAAAUACAUGAUUUUGACUCCACAUGAAACAAAUAAAUUCUAAAAGUUGUGGUCUUAAAUACGUUUUAAUAUUUGUGUCGCUAUAAAAUUUCUAACUAAUAGUAAAAUAAAAAAGGUAUAGCUUGAUUAUUUUCAAAUACAAACAUAUUUAAUAGAUUGAUAAUAAAAUGGUGCUACAUAAAAUUUGAAAGAAGGAAGAACCUAUCAUGUUUAAUACAAAAAGUCAUUUUUUCCUUUUAAACCCAUUGUGAGGUCAAAUAUACAGUGUAAGGAUCAUAAAACAUGGAUUAUAUAUUCAUGAAUAGGGAUAAUAUUUACAUUUUUUCAAAAAGGUCUAUGUUAAACUAAACAAAAUAAGCAUCUUAUGGAUUUACAAAUUAUUUAAAACAAGUUAGCACAAGAUGUUUUGUUGGGUUAUGAAGGUAAUUAGGCGUAAUGCAGAAUCUUACAAUUGUAGAUCAUAUGUUGAUAAAGUAGCUGACACAUAAAACUAUACUAAAAGAUAUUAUAUUAUUAUAUUAUAUGUCCAAUUGAACUACAUAAUUAAAACUAAUAAAAGGGAUAAUACACAAGUACCCCAUCAACCUAUGCUCGAAAUCUCAGAGACACACUUAUACUAUACUAAGGUCCUAUUACCCUCUUGAACCUUUUUUAUAAAAUAUUUUCUACCCCUUUGGCCUACGUGACACUAUCUAGUGUGCCCAGCGUGUGCUGACAUUUUAUUUCAAACUAGUGUCACGUAGGACGAAAAGUGGUAGAAAAUUAUUUAUAAAAUAAGUUCAGGGGGCAAUAGGACCUUAGUAUAGUAGAAGUGUGUCUCUGAGAUUUCAGGCAUAGGUUGACCGGGUACUUAUGCAUUUUCCCUAAUUAUAAAGACGUUAACUAUAGAGUGCAAAAUCUCCCAUAUACAAGACUCUCCAAACGACUACAUCGUGGAUUCUAUUGUGUUAUGCUAUUAGAAAGGGAUCUUCAAUUUAUAGCCCCAAACAUUUCCUCGAAGAAAAGAAUAAACCAAAUAUGGAAGAAAUUAAAUUUUCUUUGCGUUCGAAUUUGGAGUCAUUAUUAUUAGGGAAAUGACUAAGAAUUCCUAAUUUUAUUGCAAAAUUGUUUGUGGAUUAGAUGCAAUAGAUGUACAUAUUAAAAUUUUAGAAAAGGGGCAUAAUGCACAAAACAAACGUUAAAAAUUCAAAAUUACUUCAUUUCCAUUAAAGAAUUACUCCACUUCCCUUGCUAUUAAAUUUUUUUUACUCACAUAGUCUUGCCUAUACAAAGUAAGACACAUAAAUAUUUAAGAUGGUAGUGUAGGUAAGGUAAGAAUUCUCUAUAUUCCCUGUAGCUAAUGAUGAAAGAUAAUCUGGACCAUUUUUCUCAAGAUGAAAAUUUUGUUCCCUCCUAGUUUGAUGCGCGUAAUUUUUUUUUGUAGGUACAAAAAAAAGUCGAAGCCAUAAUUCAUACGUAGGACACCUGACAUUGAUCUAUAAUCUUCAUGUAUUUUUAUUUGUUACGCAUUCUUUAUUCAAGGAGAUUCAAAUCAAAGGAAGGGAUUUCUACCUCUAAGUCUAUGACAUAAGUACUUGAACAUUAGAUGGCUUUCAAUGUUUACCAGGUUCCUCUACUAUAGAUGUUUAAUCGUUAGGGGGACAUCAAUUCUUAUCAGAUUUUGAUACUAUAGAGAAUCAUCUUUGAUCAUCAUUGUGCAUGAAAUUCAUUGAGAGUAUCAAAAAAUUUAAUUCGUAUUGUUCUCAAAUUUUUGGAGGACAGGAAAACUCUUCGGGAUUACUUCAUCUUUGGUUAUUAAUACAUAUCCCAUGCUAUUAUUAUCUACAAUAGAUAGAAAUUUGAUUGAUUAUAUUCCUACACAAUCUGAAUUUAAAUAUUGUGAAAGGGGGAUGAAGGUAAUUACAAUAUUAGAAACUCAUGAAAAUCAUGACAAUUCCAUAUUUUAAUUCUUUUGAAAAUAUUAGGUGAUUAACAUUCCUUAACCUUAUUAUGAUACUUGCUACAUAACCCCUAAAAUCCUUUUCUUAAAAGAAAUUUUUUGUCGUG
This 7763-nucleotide long non-coding RNA is filed under the name Solanum lycopersicum (tomato). Its description in RNAcentral is "long non-coding RNA (SLYC_LNC001352)". Lineage: Eukaryota; Viridiplantae; Streptophyta; Magnoliopsida; Solanales; Solanaceae. The record is from RNAcentral.